RNAcentral lists this ribosomal RNA (547 nucleotides) under Pyramimonas sp. RCC2295. RNAcentral describes it as "SSU rRNA". It matches the Rfam family "Eukaryotic small subunit ribosomal RNA", at positions 650 to 1200 of the family's 1831-position model. The record is from RNAcentral. Lineage: Eukaryota; Viridiplantae; Chlorophyta; Pyramimonadophyceae; Pyramimonadales; Pyramimonadaceae.
GUUUGACCGGUCCGCCGUUUCGGUGUGCACUGGUCGUACCUAUCUUGCUGUCGGGGACGCGCUUCUGGCCUUAAUUGGCUGGGACGCGGAGUCGGCGAUGUUACUUUGAAAAAAUUAGAGUGUUCAAAGCAGGCCUAAGCUCUGAAUACAUUAGCAUGGAAUAACGCUAUAGGACUCUGGUCUUAUUGCGUUGGUCUUCGAGACCGGAGUAAUGAUUAAGAGGGACAGUUGGGGGCAUUCGUAUUUCAUUGUCAGAGGUGAAAUUCUUGGAUUUAUGAAAGACGAACUUCUGCGAAAGCAUUUGCCAAGGAUGUUUUCAUUAAUCAAGAACGAAAGUUGGGGGCUCGAAGACGAUCAGAUACCGUCCUAGUCUCAACCAUAAACGAUGCCGACUAGGGAUUGGCGGAUGUUAAUUCGAUGACUUCGCCAGCACCUUAUGAGAAAUCAAAGUUUUUGGGUUCCGGGGGGAGUAUGGUCGCAAGGCUGAAACUUAAAGGAAUUGACGGAAGGGCACCACCAGGAGUGGAGCCUGCGGCUUAAUUUGACU